Molecule: ribosomal RNA, 481 nt
Filed under: uncultured bacterium
Lineage: Bacteria
Description: partial 16S ribosomal RNA
Rfam family: Bacterial small subunit ribosomal RNA
Source: RNAcentral
GACGAACGCUGGCGGCGUGCUUAACACAUGCAAGUCGAGCGGAAAGGCCACUUCGGUGGUACUCGAGCGGCGAACGGGUGAGUAACACGUGAGUAAUCUGCCCCUGGCUUUGGGAUAGCCACCGGAAACGGUGAUUAAUACCGGAUACGACCACUUCUCGCAUGGGAUGGUGGUGGAAAGUUUUUUCGGCCAGGGAUGUGCUCGCGGCCUAUCAGCUUGAUGGUGAGGUAAUGGCUCACCAUGGCUUCGACGGGUAGCAGGCCUGAGAGGGUGACCGGUCACACUGGGCCUGAGACGCGGCCCAGACUCCUACGGGAGGCAGCAGUGGGGAAGAUUGGACAAGGGGCGGAAGCCUGAUCCAGCAACGCCGCGGGAGGGAUGACGUCCUUCGGGUUGUAAACCUCUUUCAGCAAGGACGAAGAGCAAGUAACGGUACCUGCAGAAGAAGCACCGGCCAACUACGUGCCAGCAGCCGCGGUAA